GUUAAACAUUGAGGAGACAGAGAGGAGUCACAGUCCAGACGACCAACAGGUUAAACAUUGAGGAGACAGAGAGGAGUCACAGACCAGACGACCAACAGGUUAAACAUUGAGGAGACAGAGAGGAGUCACAGACCAGGUGACCAACAGGUUAAACAUUGAGGAGACAGAGAGGAGUCACAGUCCAGACGACCAACAGGUUAAACAUUGAGGAGACAGAGAGGAAUCACAGUCCAGACGACCAACAGGUUAAACAUUGAGGAGACAGAGAGGAGUCACAGUCCAGACGACCAACAGGUUAAACAUUGAAGAGACAGAGAGGAGUCACAGACCAGGCGACCAACAGGUUAAAACAUUGAAGCGACAGAGAGGAGUCACAGUCCAGACGACCAACAGGUUAAACAUUGAGGAGACAGAGAGGAGUCACAGUCCAGACGACCAACAGGUUAAAACAUUGAGGAGACAAAGAGGAGUCACAGACCAGACGACCAACAGGUUAAACAUUGAGGAG
Molecule: long non-coding RNA, 508 nt
Filed under: Salmo salar (Atlantic salmon)
Lineage: Eukaryota; Metazoa; Chordata; Actinopteri; Salmoniformes; Salmonidae
Description: lncRNA (ENSSSAG00000086727.1)
Source: RNAcentral